Molecule: long non-coding RNA, 1295 nt
Filed under: Callithrix jacchus (white-tufted-ear marmoset)
Lineage: Eukaryota; Metazoa; Chordata; Mammalia; Primates; Cebidae
Description: lncRNA (ENSCJAG00000081582.1)
Source: RNAcentral
GACAAUAAAUUCUGAGUAAAUGUGGUAUCAUUAUCAUGGCCGUCCAAAUAAGUUUAUAAAUUGUUUUUUAAUUUUCAGAUGCAGAAAAUGGGGAUUCUUUGUGACUUUAUAGCUUUUGAUUGAUGAAUGAUGUGGGUGGGUUUUUGUUGGAUGUGCUAUUUAUAAUCUAUAGCAUAUUAUUUUGUUUUCAAAUAUCUGAAAGGACAAAACCAUUUACCUUCUAAAAAUAAUUCAAUCAUAUGCAAGAAGUAUAAUUAAUACAUUAACAUUUAUACUAGAUAAUUCUACAUAAGAAAUCCUUUCAACAAAUCCCUAUAACUAAUAAUUUUUUAUUGGUAUUUAACGAAGUGAUACAAUUCAUAACAGUACUCUCCAUUGGUUAUAAAUGCAGAACAGGAUGGGAUUUGGAAAAUCAACCCAGGUAUAGUGAAGAGGAAGGAUUACAAUUGCACUUAAAUAAAAUCUUUCAAACCCAGGGAUUAGAAUUUACUUGAGAUAAUAUUUGUUAUCGCAAGUAAACAUUUGUUCUUAUGGAAAACUCAAGUUGGCUGGGUGGCAUGAACUUUGGAUAUAGACUUCUUACAACACAAGACAAUUCCACUAGGAUUUAUUGAGUGCCUACUAGGAGCAGUAUUCCCACUCAGACCUUCAACCAAGUAUUAACCAGAUACAAUAUUGCUUAGUUCCAAAGAUACAGUGAAAUUGAGGAUACGAAGGCUGAUACGGCCUUAUACCCCAAACAAGUAUUUAUCAAGUGCCUAAUGUGUCAAGAACCAUACUAUUAUGUUACAUUAUUUUAUUAUUAUUUUUUUCAACAGGGUCUCACUCGUUGCCCAGGCUGGAGUGCAGUGACAUGAUCAUAGCUCACUGUAACCUUGAACUCCUGGACACAAGGGAUCUUACUGCCUCAGCCUCCCGAGCAGCUAGGAUGACAGGUGAUUAGAUAGAUCAUCUGGAACUAUUGUCUGGCCUCUUCCUGCUCCUGAAGAAAGGCUUAGUGAUUUCCCUGCAGAUGACCUCUGUGCUUGCCAUCCUACAAUCCAUUCUCUACACAGAAGCCAGAAUGAUGUUUAAGAAAUAUAAUGAAACAACUGGUUGAUUUAUUUUGUAGCACUUAUUAUAAAGAAUUAUUCUAGUCAUUACAACAAAGUGAUUCAAAAUGUAAUGCAAAAAUUCGAGUCACUACAACCACUGUAGAGGUUUUAUAAUAGAAAAAUAUUAUAAACAACAUAAAUGUUAAAAAUAGAGAGGCUUGGAAAUAUAUUUUGUACCUAUGAAAAGAACAUUUAUGAAGA